RNAcentral lists this long non-coding RNA (222 nucleotides) under Linum usitatissimum (flax). RNAcentral's name for it is "long non-coding RNA (LUSI_LNC007625)". The record is from RNAcentral. Lineage: Eukaryota; Viridiplantae; Streptophyta; Magnoliopsida; Malpighiales; Linaceae.
GUAAAGCCUACUGUCGCUCUGAAAUGGAAAGUAAGGGUCAGUGCUAAUCACUGAGUGAGGAUCUACGUCCUAGUCACUCUAAGGUACAAAUAAUCAUAUAGAAAGUAUACAACAUAUAACACAUAAGGCUAAUUCUAUAAUCUAAUUUAUAUCCAUAUUUUAUUUGGGAUCCCGGCUCACAUAUGCUGACGACUCACGUAGAGUUAGUGGCACUAAAAUGGC